AUACGAAGGGUGCAAGCGUUACUCGGAAUUACUGGGCGUAAAGCGUGCGUAGGUGGUUGUUUAAGUCUGUCGUGAAAGCCCUGGGCUCAACCUGGGAAUGGCGAUGGAAACUGGGCGACUAGAGUGUGGCAGAGGGUAGUGGAAUUCCUGGUGUAGCAGUGAAAUGCGUAGAGAUCAGGAGGAACAUCCGUGGCGAAGGCGACUGCCUGGGCCAACACUGACACUGAGGCACGAAAGCGUGGGGAGCAAACAGGAUUAGAUACCCUGGUAGUCCACGCCCUAAACGAUGCGAACUGGAUGUUGGGUGCAAUUUGGCACGCAGUAUCGAAGCUAACGCGUUAAGUUCGCCGCCUGGGGAGUACGGUCGCAAGACUGAAACUCAAAUGAAUUGACGGGG
This 397-nucleotide ribosomal RNA is filed under the name uncultured bacterium. Its description in RNAcentral is "partial 16S ribosomal RNA". It matches the Rfam family "Bacterial small subunit ribosomal RNA", at positions 523 to 918 of the family's 1533-position model. The record is from RNAcentral.